GCGGGGCCCUCUUAGGCGCGGGGCCCGAUUCGGGGGAAUUGGUGGAAUUGGCCUAAAGCCGGCCCUGCUUUGCAGUAAGUCCUAUGGCCCAGAUUCCAUUGAAAUCAAUGGGCGAUAGGUGGGUUCUGGGCCAUUGUCUGGCGUUAGCUCCACAGCCUGGCACAUCCAACCAAUGCUGAUACAUCGUUUUUGUCUCAGAUCAGUUGUUUAUCUGCCAUUGUUCAGAAUUCAGUUAUACCAUCCAAGCCUUAAGGGCUGUGAACUACUGUAGGCUUGUCUGUGCCUCUCCCACCGAUUUAUACUUGCAGUAGCAGUAGGAGGUAAGGAAGCACUAUUGCUUUCAUUUUACACAUGGGAAACUGAGGCACGGCAAGGCAACAUGACUUGUUCAAAGUCACACAGUGAAUCAGUGACAGAGGUGGGAACAGAACGUAAGAAUUCUGACUCCCAGGCCUGAUCAAACCACUCGAGCAAGUGAGGUUUUAGCCCGGCAAAUAGGAAACCCUGUUUUAUAUAACUUGCUUUAGCUUUAGAAAAGGAAAGGUUAAAAAAACCUGGGUAUGUUUAGUCUUGAGAAAAGAAGACUGAGGGCGGACCCUCAUAAGAGAUUUCAAAUAUAUUUUACGGGCUGUGAUCAAUUGUUCACAUGUCCACUGAGGGCAGGACAAGAAAGAAUGGGCUUAAUUGCAGCAAGAGAUAUUUAGGUUAGAUUUAGGACAAACUUUCUAACUAUAAAGAUAGUUACGCUCUGGAAUAGGCUUCCAAGGGAGGUUGAGGAAUCCUCUCAUUGGAGGAUUUUAAGAACAGGAGGGACAAACACUCGUUUACUUGGUCCUGCCUCAGCGCCAGGUUCUGGACUUGAUGACUUCUCGAGGUCCCUUCCAGCCCGACAUUUCUGUGAUUCUAUGAAACGAUCCUCCCCAAAGCCCUAAGCAUACGUACAAUACAAUUCAAAACCACAUUUAAAAAAAAUUCAGUCCAGCCACUGCCUACAUCCCCUAGCCUUUUCUGAUUAUUCCCAUAUCCAGCAAUUACCCUUUUCAGCUUACUGUGUCUCCCUGCAAACAACUCUAAAUACACCAAGAGGUUGACAAAUAAAAUUCUGUUGUACAGGGAAAAAACAUCAUGGUCUGCUCAUUGUGUGAGCCUUGUGUUGCAACAGGAUGCACAAGGGGAAAGUGACCGAUUACCUCCUAAAACACACAGCAAAGUAACUGCAGGCUGAGCCCAGAUGUUCAUGUGUUCCCAGAGCUCAGAUGCCAGUGCUGUCCGGAAAUAGCUGUGAGCUGGGUUAGAGAGCAUUCUGGGUAACAGGCAUGCAAAUGAGUACCCAGUGCAUCCCAUUUUCCUUUGAAAUUCCUGUCCCUGGCAUUGCUGCUUGCAAGCAGCCUUUGAACUGGAGUCAAAUUCAGCAUAUUCAACAGACAUGCUUCGAGGGCCUUUUGGGAGUCCUCACUUCCAUCAUCAGUGAGGUUGGCUCCUGGCUUUUGGGGUAUAUAUGGUACAGCUAUGCGCACAAUGGUAAUCUUGCAAGCAGAUGACAGGUUAUGUGGAUUCCUGGCAUUAUCGGAGACGAACUGAAAGACUGUAGUCACUGCUAUCUCCAGUCCAGCAUGCAAAUGCUCAGCACGGCAAGACUUGCUGACAUUGAUCAACGCUCUUCUUUUUUUUUUUUUUAAGGGUUUUUAAUUAACAUCCUGUUUCAAUAAUGAGUUUUAAGCACCACAUGAUUCCAGGAAGGAGGUCAAGCUUGCCGUGAGGAUGUCAGAAUAAAUUAAGUUAGGAAUUAGGAAGAGGUCCAAGGGGCGGAGGGAGAUCUUGCUGUGGAGAAUGGUUCACGGCCACUGCAGUUGUCAAUUCUGCUACCAAAUUGGUAGGGGCCAGUCACCCUAAGCAGCCGGGGCAGCACAUAGUCAGUGUUUGUCUAUAUUAUUCUGCACAUUUCAGUUCAGUUUCUUGUCUUGCUGGUUGUAGGUCCCCAUUAAACUGCAGGGUUGAUAGAUCUCCUUCCAGUUCAGGCAGGUUCUGUGGUCUCGAUCCCGCCACAACUUACACACAGCAGCGAGGCUACUCACGUGUGUCGAGUUGAACACAUGUGUAAAUCUUUGCAAGAUUGAGGCCCAUGUGAGCUUCUCACAUGUGGGGCUAGAUUGUCCUCUGCACCAGCUAUUAUCAAUCAGGCGUAAUGCCACCAAAGGCGGGGGCAUGAGGUAUAAUGGCGAAAGGGAGAGGAGAAUCAGGCCAUCCUCUUUAGAAAAUUCUAUUUAGCAUCUUUACUUUGUAUCAGAAGGGGCUAGAAUCUCUCUACAGCCGCAGUGUCAGACCUUUGGAGCACCAUGGUGAAGGUAAGGAGCAUACUGGAAGGACGGAAGCCCAAUUGGCAGUGGCCAAUUUCCAUAUACAUCUAGAUAAUUUCAGAAAUAAAUGCACAAAGGUAAUAUUAUUUACUGAGCACCUCGCCUGGUUGCUUACGCUUGUGUCUUCCCUGACAGACGAUGAGAGAAAUUGCUUGGUUGAGUACAACAGAAACAAAAACCACGCAGCUGCUGAGGUUUGUGUUCAUACAGCAGUAUGUGCGAGAGAGAGAGAGAAAGAAAGGGGAGGUACCUUUAUCAAUUGGGGAAAAGUCUGGGUUCCCACAGACAAUACAGCAAAUGCAUAUAGACCAUGGACCAAAUUCAGUACACACUCUGGUCUAAAUACAGUGUAACUCCACUUACACCAGUGCAAAGUGAACGCAGAAAGUGUGUCGCUUAUCUAUAUUUUCCUUUUCACAUAGACACGAAACUCUUCCACUUUCGGAACUGUUUUGGUUCAGUCACAACAACCUGAGAAAACACGAGUGACCUUAACCAAGGAUGAGGACAAGGCUGAGGCUAAUCAGAUACAAAGUGCUGGCUCUGGGGCAGAAAUGCAGGGAUAAAUGGCUUCAAGGAAUCUGUGCUGUUGGAUGGGCCUACUUCUACCAGCCGUGAGCGAAGGCAGGACCAGCUGAGGGUCGAAGGUCAAACGCAGCCCGAAGAAAGGCACGGCUGUGUGCCAGUGCCGAUGCCAAUGGGACGCUCUGUAGAGACAAGAGAUGGUUAUUGCCAUCUGCAAAAGCUGGCGAGCCCACCAGUGCAGCGUCUCCUGACGAUCUUCGGGGGCAGGAGUUCACUACUGGCUCAGAGGCCAAAGUGACACCACUUCCCGCAACACAGAGGUUUCCUUUGUCGUCUCCAGUCCAGCUACUGACCUGACCAGACCUGAUGCGCGACCGGCUGAGAUCACAGCCAGAGGUGGUAUGGCUGAGGGGCUACAACCAACAUCCACGGGGAGUGCCACAGCUUUCACGCUUUCCUCUUUAUCUUACUAUUUCUUCCCGAGAUGCUCUGUAGCACCAAUGUGCAGCAACGGGGCUCCCUAAUUGAUUCCCGGAGGGAUUUGCAGGCAUUUCUGCCCUACAGCAGAUUGUCCCUUCACUUCUAAAUGCUGUGAUCACCAAAGGCAACUCGCGCUCACUCUCAUAUUCUGCCCAUCAACUUCCCCCCUUCUCUUCCAAUCCUUGCAAACAACCUCCUCCUCUCCUGGUGCAACCUCAGUGACAUCUCCCUGUACGUUAAAUGAAGAUGCAUGAGCAACAAUGAGAUAGACGUCCUGCCCAGCACAAUACCUACAUCAUCAUCGGGGGCAGAGCCAACCGGGGCAGCAGCUGUCUGAAGAUGACGGCUCAGGGAUGGAUGAUAUUUUUGCUCCGAAGACCCCCAGGCCUAAGAGAUCUGGGAAGGAAGAACUCCUGCCCUCCGACCCCCAGUAAAAGAUUUGAGGUGGGGCAGACUAUGGAAGGAAGGACAAGGGUAACAGUAACAACGGCCCAUGGUUAUUUAGGCCAGUUACAUGCAGAACCAGACUCUGCCGCCCUUAGUGAGGUUGGGUACCGCCUCACUCUGCACAUUGCUCCCCAGAGAGCAAGGUACCAUCUAGCGUAAGUCAGGGUGGCUUUAGGGAGGCUAAACAAAACGUCCCCUUGGAGACAAUCAGAACGACAUAGAAUCAUAGAAUCAUAGAAUCUCAUGGUUGGAAGGGACCUCAAGAGGUCAUCUAGUCCCACACCCCUGCUCAAAGCAGGACCAAUUCCCGACUGACCAACAGCAUCAAACCCUGACGCCUCCGUGCCCUGCAGCUAAACCUGUUGCUUUCCGCCGAGCUGUUUUUGAGGCAGUCAUAAAGCAUCUGGAGGAGGAAGAAAAAUGCAAGAACAAACAGGAAUGAAAUAUUCCUCUCUCCGGUGGGUUUGUAGCCCUGGUGAAAUAUAGUCGAGACAAAGCAUAAAAGUCCCAUUUCCAACUCUAUAAUAUUUCCUGCCAAAACCAACUAAAACGUGCUGCUCUAAAUUUUCUGCAAAAUUCUUCUGAGGUUAUUUUUCCCUUAAAUUAAGCCAUACUAAUUAUUUUCAGCCGGCUUUAUCUCCACUCUGCAACACACCAGGAGGGUGCAGGCGGCAAGCAUUUUAAGCCUCCAUAAACAAAAGAGUAGUUUGGAAAAUAAUUCUAUCAAUUAAUCAAAUUAAUCCUGCAGUUUUAGUUACAAGCCCCAAGUGGCAGGGAUUCUAGCCUGCGGUUAUGAGCUAUCUCUCAUUGACAGCGUUUAAAUGUUAUGAUUGCAACAGUAAUUAAAGAAUAUA
Long non-coding RNA from Trachemys scripta elegans, 4663 nucleotides. RefSeq lists it as uncharacterized. The transcript has 4 exons. Lineage: Eukaryota; Metazoa; Chordata; Testudines; Emydidae. The record is from RefSeq and is a predicted model, not a curated record.